This 732-nucleotide ribosomal RNA is filed under the name Triticum aestivum (bread wheat). Its description in RNAcentral is "partial small subunit ribosomal RNA". The record is from RNAcentral. Lineage: Eukaryota; Viridiplantae; Streptophyta; Magnoliopsida; Poales; Poaceae.
AUGGUGAUGUCGCCGUCGUCCUUCCCGGCCACGUCGGUCUCCGACGCCGACGGCUUACCGCACGCGGCCAAGAAGAUGUGGACCAAGAGAGAGGACGACCUGCUGCGGGAGCAGGUGUGUCGGUGCGGCGGCCCGCACAAGUGGGACUCCAUCUGCCGAGGCCUGCCCGGCCGCAACUCCAAGUCGUGCCGCCUCCGCUGGUGCCAGCACCUCGACCCCAGGGUGGAGGCCGUCAAGCCCUUCACCCGCGAGGAGGACAUGCUCAUCGUCAAGUACCAGGCCACCUACGGCAACCGCUGGUCCACCAUCGCUGAGUUCCUCUCCGGCCGCAUCGACAACGCCAUCAAGAACCGCUGGAACUCCGUCCUCCACAAGCACGCGCCCUCCCUGCAGGUGCAGGGGCACACGCGCCCGUGGGCUCCUUCCACCGCCCGACAGGCCGCGAGCCCCGAGGUCACGCCUGGGUGCCUGCCGCUGUUUCCUCUGGCGAGCGGGGAUGUCAGGAUGUCCCCUCGCUUGACGGAGGUCGUGUCGGAGGCUGAGACAUCUGCGGCGGCGAGGGAGUGCCUCGAGCUGUUCCCUCUGGCGCCCGGGGAUAUCAGGGGCAACGCGGGUGCUGCGGCGCUGAGUGACAUGUCCUGCGGAGCAGGCGACCCGCUCACUGAGCUGAGGCUCUGGCUGGCGGCGAGGGUGGUGUUCGACGUAAUGCCGCUCCAGGCUUACCGGAUGUAG